AGUGAACGCUGGCGGUAGGCCUAACACAUGCAAGUCGAACGGCAGCACAGUAAGAGCUUGCUCUUACGGGUGGCGAGUGGCGGACGGGUGAGGAAUACAUCGGAAUCUACUUUUUCGUGGGGGAUAACGUAGGGAAACUUACGCUAAUACCGCAUACGACCUACGGGUGAAAGCAUGGGAUCUUCGGACCUUGCGCGAUUGAAUGAGCCGAUGUCGGAUUAGCUAGUUGGCGGGGUAAAGGCCCACCAAGGCGACGAUCCGUAGCUGGUCUGAGAGGAUGAUCAGCCACACUGGAACUGAGACACGGUCCAGAGUCCUACGGGAGGCAGCGGUGGGGAAUAUUGGACAAGGGGCGCAAGCCUGAUCCAGCCAUACCGCGUGGGUGAAGAAGGCCUUCGGGUGGUAAAGCCCUUUUGUUGGGAAAGAAAAGCAGCAGGUUAAUACCCCGCUGUUCUGACGGUACCCAAAGAAUAAGCACCGGCUAACUUCGU
RNAcentral lists this ribosomal RNA (491 nucleotides) under uncultured bacterium. RNAcentral describes it as "partial 16S ribosomal RNA". It matches the Rfam family "Bacterial small subunit ribosomal RNA", at positions 29 to 506 of the family's 1533-position model. The record is from RNAcentral.